GAAAUGCGAUAAGUAAUGUGAAUUGCAGAAUUCCGUGAAUCAUCGAAUCUUUGAACGCACAUUGCGCCCCCUGGUAUUCCGGGGGGCAUGCCUGUCCGAGCGUCAUUUCAACCCUCAAGCCCCCGGGUUUGGUGUUGGGGAUCGGGCUGCGGUUCUGCCGCGGCCCGGCCCCGAAAUCUAGUGGCGGUCUCGCUGCAGCCUCCAUUGCGUAGUAGCUAACACCUCGCAACUGGAACGCGGCGCGGCCAAGCCGUUAAACCCCCAACUUCUGAAUGUUGACCUCGGAUCAGGUAGGAAUACCCGCUGAACUUAAGC
Molecule: unclassified non-coding RNA, 315 nt
Filed under: plant metagenome
Description: partial contains 5.8S ribosomal RNA, internal transcribed spacer 2, and large subunit ribosomal RNA
Rfam family: 5.8S ribosomal RNA (bases 1-105)
Source: RNAcentral